CAAGGCGAGCAAGUCCUUGCCUGUUUCAGAGGAUAUCGAGAUCGAGGUGGCGGAGGUCCUUUAUGGUUUGACGAGGCAGUUUCAGUCGAUGCCGAAUCAAGAUUUCCAUGCGCCUGAUUCAAAGGAUACAAACGGUCCAAGCACAGAAGCCUCACCGGCCUCGAUCUCCCAUCAGUCAUCAUCGGUUACCAUUCCAAUUCCUCCUCCCAAUAUGAGCUCCAACACCGCCUUGACAUCAGCUGUCGCUCCUAAGAGGAAACGGGUACGCCAGAG
This 273-nucleotide unclassified non-coding RNA is filed under the name Hevea brasiliensis (rubber tree). Lineage: Eukaryota; Viridiplantae; Streptophyta; Magnoliopsida; Malpighiales; Euphorbiaceae. The record is from RNAcentral.